RNAcentral lists this unclassified non-coding RNA (416 nucleotides) under Bombus terrestris (buff-tailed bumblebee). RNAcentral describes it as "misc RNA ENSBTSG00005036086.1". The record is from RNAcentral. Lineage: Eukaryota; Metazoa; Arthropoda; Insecta; Hymenoptera; Apidae.
UGGGGGAACGUUGGUAUUUUGCCAAGGACGCAGUGUCGGAGACUUUGGUGGCUAGGCACACCUGAACGGUCCAAACUAUUUGCAAUUCCUUCUCUUCUGACGUGUUAUUGGCUGUUUUGUUGUGUAAUUUUCUACGGAGCAAGUCAACGACGAGUAACAUCUUGUUUUCGAGCGAAAAGUAAGAAAGACGGAUAAGAAUUAGGGAAACGAACACAGCAGGAAUUGGAUCGGCAGAUAUUCGAUUCAAGGCAGCAGAAGAAAGGAAACAAGGACACAAUAAAACAGCAAGCGGAAGGAAGAAAAUACGAUCGAUUAAAAAAGAGUAUAAAAGAAUGAAUGAAGCGGAUUGGAAAGCGAGGAAAUGAUGUAGGGAGGAGGGGGAAGAAAAAAGAUAAACGAGGGAUAAACGGCGAGAA